UAGAUUCCCAGCCGUAAUAUUCAUUAUAAUUUUCAGACUCGCCCCCUUUAAUAUUUGGCACCGAGUACACACCUUUGUCUUUCGAGCUCACAUGGUCGGAUUGCAAGGAACCAGCAAUGAGAGUGUCAUCAAAUGCUGUCAUAUGGGGGUAAGAUUCACUUGGAGGACAUUUAUCCGAAUCACACACCGAACAUUGGCUGCAUUAAAGCUCACUCUUCAGAUGUUGACCACCAUU
This 235-nucleotide long non-coding RNA is filed under the name Olea europaea (common olive). RNAcentral's name for it is "long non-coding RNA (OEUR_LNC002368)". The record is from RNAcentral. Lineage: Eukaryota; Viridiplantae; Streptophyta; Magnoliopsida; Lamiales; Oleaceae.